This 73-nucleotide transfer RNA is filed under the name Streptosporangiaceae bacterium NEAU-GS5. It matches the Rfam family "tRNA". Rfam says of the family: Transfer RNA (tRNA) molecules are approximately 80 nucleotides in length. Their secondary structure includes four short double-helical elements and three loops (D, anti-codon, and T loops). Lineage: Bacteria; Bacillati; Actinomycetota; Actinomycetes; Streptosporangiales; Streptosporangiaceae. The record is from Rfam by way of RNAcentral.
CUGUUCGUAGCUCAGUGGUAGAGCGCCUGGCUCUGGAACCGGGUGGACGCCGGUUCGAGCCCGGUCGAACGGG